Neofelis nebulosa (Clouded leopard) is the source of this 3670-nucleotide long non-coding RNA. RefSeq lists it as uncharacterized. The transcript has 2 exons. Lineage: Eukaryota; Metazoa; Chordata; Mammalia; Carnivora; Felidae. The record is from RefSeq and is a predicted model, not a curated record.
CGCCGCGGUGGGGCGGAUCCUGGCGAGUCGGUCGCCGGGGCUGGGGGCUGCGGCCUGGCCGAGGCCGCGGGGAGGAAUGCGGGGGACGGGCGGGUCCCGGGAGGCCCGGGCUGGGGGGCAGACGGGGCUGCGACGCGAGGGAGCCAGGCCAAAGCCAGGGGAGCGCGCCACGCCGCCCUCAGAAAGCUCCGCCGCCUCGGGGUCGCCGCGGGACAGAGCUCGGGCUUCUGGCCUCACCUCCCUCUCCGAGUACCCGCCGUAUUCCCCGCGCUGACACCCUGUUCCUGCACUUGCUGCUCAUUCCGACGCCUCCAAGCUUUUACUCUUGUUCUUUGCUCACCCUGCUGUCCUCCUUGUAUUUCCCCCCGGUGAACCUGACCUCGGUGUGACCUCAGCCUAGGACUCAAAGCUCCCUCUCUCUCUUAGGCUGGGCCCCAGACAGCCGAGCGAGCGGCGUCCCUGCGCACCCCAUCCCUAGGCCCCUUCCCUGGGUUGCCUAAACCUACAGCAUGUUCGUUGGCGGACCGUGCCUUUCUGAAACCUCUUGAUUUCUGAUUGCCAGUUAGACACUGGGGACUCAGAGUUAGGACUCAGAGCCCAACGCACCUCCUCUUUCUCCCCAGCGUCUUCCUUCGCGGGUUUCAUUAUUUUUUUCUUUCUUUGUUUUUUUUUUUUUAGUUUCUGGCACAAAAAUCAACCCACCCUUGUUCCCAGGAGCAGAGCCAUUUCUGCCCCUCUCCUCACACUCUGGCCUGGUGUGUGCUGGCCAAGCUUUGAACAAGCCCAGAAGGAGUCCAGUACUGCCCUGCAGGGUGGCAUGGGGGUGUCCUGCUCUGCCUGCGACUUGCCCUUUGCCGCCCCCCCCCACCCCCCCGCGGAAUACCACUUUCCGGCCCCAGCUGACUCCCAACCAGUUGGGGGACCUCCAAGUGUGCAGUUAGUGAGCCACCCACAUCGACCUAGAGGAGGGGUCCCAGGGGACACUGCUGGGCCUCCUAUCACCCCGGAGGCUCCCCUACCUUCUCUCUUGACUUCUCCCCUCUUCUCCAUGUCUCCCUCCCCAUCACCUGCAGGACCUGUGGCUCCCACCCGGACUUCCCCAGGUGUCAGCUUUUACCCCGGGUGAGAUUAUCAAAGGCCUCAGGCCCUCUGACUCCCUGCGGCACUGGGCUCUCCAGCCUCCCCCCUCCCUCCCAGGGAAGCCAUCCUGAUGAUCUGAGCACUCUGCCUCUCUUGACCCCGUGAGUGCCCCAGGCUGCUGUGCCUUGCUGCCUUCUCCCUCCUCCCCUCAGAGAGCCGGUGAUCUUCCACAGCCUCAGAGGCUGUCUUGGGGACGCGAUCUCCUAGUGUGGGCCUCCAUCCUGCUUCCACCAGUCCUGAAUAUAAGCUGGUGAGGACAGAGGCGGCCUUCACUCCCUGGGGAGGAGGGGAGCACCUGCCUCCAUGGAGGGUCCCUAAUGCAAUAGCUCUGUCCCUGGGCCUGGGAUGAGGCUGCUUCGUCUCCACAAACCAGCUCCUACUCCUACCCCCCCCCCACCCCUCUUGUCUGUCCACGGCACCUCCUCCUGACACCCAUCAGGCUUGAAGCCCAGGAGUUCAUCUCGGAUACUUUCCUCACCCUGGCCACAGCCAACUCUUUGUCAGAUCGUAAGGAUUCCCCCUCCGGGUCCUCUUCCCUGCCCCAGUGCCUACAGUGAGUAUCUUUAACAAUGAAACUUAUUUGUCCUCUACCGGACUCCACUCUGGCUUGGAGGAGAACUCCGCCCUUGUCUGAUGCUGGCCUUCAUAGCUAUCUCCCUGCCCCCAGCUGCCCAGCCCAGUCACCCUCCAUUCUCCUGCCACCACUUGCUUAGAAACUUCCAGAUGUUCAUGGCUCCCCGAAUAGACAUUUAGGGACUUAGUUUAGGGACAUUCUGAGCCCUUUGAUGCCUGAUCUGGAUGUCCCUUGCCACUCUUUCCUCCAUUCCCUUUCUGUGCUAGUCCCUUGCUUACCUGACACUAAAGAUCUUACUCCUCCCCCAACACAGGCUACCACUGUCAACAGCAGGCCUUUCAUCUGGCUGGUUCCUUGGGGGGGUGGGGGGGGGAGGGAGGGCGUGCCCUCACUGUUGCCCUACCUUUCUUCUCUGGAAGCAACAGGGUCCACGUUCCUCUUCAUGGGGUUGAAGGGCUUGGCUGUUGCAGAUCUUCACGGCUCUAGAAGACUCUUCCCAAAGUAGGGUUGGGGUAUGGGUGCUCAGAGUUAACCCGGGGCAGAAAGGGACUGUUAAUGGCACUGAGCUAAGACCAGGUUGGAUGGGCUCCUAACUUGUACGGGUUUCUAUUAUUAACCACAUGGACUAGAAAGAAAAGGAUGGUGUUUGAGGCUUCCCAGGUCCUGCAGCCCCAGAGAAAGGCUUCUGGGUUAGAGCCACUGCACCAAGGGGCAAGGCCUCUGGGUGAUGACGGUUAUCAGUUGGGCCAGUAAAUGGAAGGCCAGCGAGGAAAGUCUGAGUCAGUCCUUGUGGUUGGAGGUAAGUGUCUCUGCUUUAGAUCCAGCAAGUCCGUUUCUUGGAAUUCCGGGUGUGUUUUUCUGUCUUGUGCUUCAUGGGCACCACGGUGUGGCGGCGAGAGCCUUGUGAACGAACACUCGGUGUCACUGCAGAGGGAGUGACCUGGGCUGUAAAGAUGCAGGGGCAAGUACUGGGGCCAGUACAGAAGAAGGGCCUGAGCCUGAGACCAGGACAGCAUCUGUAAAGGCCAGUAGAGCUGAACGCGUGGAUUUGCAGUACGGGCUUCAAGGUGGAGCUCCUGGAGCAUCCCAGGGGAUGCAGGGGAGCAGAGCAUUUUUCCUGCAGGUCUGGGCCUUAAAACAGUAUUUCAAAAAUCAAAACUAACUCUCUGUCUCUCUCCCUCCCCCUCCCCCGCUCCCUCUCUCCAAAAGGGGGCUGCAACACCACAGACAACCGAUCCCAGGUGGUGCCUUAGGCACAAGGCUCCAGGCCAGGCUGAGUGUUGGGCCGCAGCGCCCCCUGGAGGCCCAGGAGAUUCAGGCACUUGGAUCCACUUCAAGGUCAAGUUUUCUGAUAGGAAUUAACAGAGGGACAGAAUAAACAUACUAAAGCAUCCACUAAAUACGGUUGUUCGCAUGUUCUGUGAAGAAAAAGAAAAUGCCUGGCGCCAUUCCAGAAGGUUUCCUUGUGGGUAUGCCGUGGCUCUCAGCCUUCCUCCUGGCUGACUUCCCCUGUUGCCAGGGGAAAGACCCACACUACAGGUGUUCGUCUUGCCUUGGGAUCCCUUCCACUCCCGAAUUUAGGUUGAGUUACUCAGUGUUGAAUAAUACACAAUUGGAGUCAACACUCCGGCAGAGGAGUUGAGCUCCCAUCUCCAAUUUCUGGGCUAAAAGACAGAUUGCAUGUCCCCUCAAUUUUCCUGGUUGUCCACACCCCUACCAGUCACGAACCAUCUCAAAGACAACUAGUCUCACCCUCAUUGAGGCAGAGGAAGGGGACUGUUUUACCUGGCGCAGCAAGAUGUGCUUUGUUCAUCCAGCAGCUUUCAGAGAAGGCCCUGGGACCUGCAGAUUUCCAAACUAAUGCUGUACCAACAUCCAACACUGUCCCUGGAGGCCCGCCCCUUAGCUAUCCACAGGCAGUGGUGGAAAAUCAGAAAUAAAAGCAUGUGUGUGUGA